This 253-nucleotide ribosomal RNA is filed under the name uncultured bacterium. RNAcentral's name for it is "partial 16S ribosomal RNA". It matches the Rfam family "Bacterial small subunit ribosomal RNA", at positions 524 to 776 of the family's 1533-position model. The record is from RNAcentral.
UACGGAGGGUGCAAGCGUUAUCCGGAUUCACUGGGUUUAAAGGGAGCGUAGGUGGGUUGGUAAGUCAGUGGUGAAAUCCCCGAGCUUAACUUGGGAACUGCCAUUGAUACUAUCAGUCUUGAAUAUUGUGGAGGUUAGCGGAAUAUGUCAUGUAGCGGUGAAAUGCUUAGAGAUGACAUAGAACACCAAUUGCGAAGGCAGCUGGCUACACAUAUAUUGACACUGAGGCUCGAAAGCGUGGGGAUCAAACAGG